Molecule: long non-coding RNA, 792 nt
Filed under: Citrus sinensis (sweet orange)
Lineage: Eukaryota; Viridiplantae; Streptophyta; Magnoliopsida; Sapindales; Rutaceae
Description: long non-coding RNA (CSIN_LNC004673)
Source: RNAcentral
AAGGAUGGCAAAAUGUCGGGUCGGGCUCGGGCUUGUCCAAGCCCUACCCGACCCAAUCAAAAGAAAUGUAAAGCCCGACCCUAAAAAAGCCCGAAUACUAUUUAGUUAGGGUUGGGCCGAGCCCGGCCCGAAUCGGGCCAACAUCGGGUCGGGCCCAACCCGACCCUACUGAAAUAAUUAACCCCACAAUUUAAUUCUCAUUUUCCACCACCAUUUUAACCAAUUCGGUAAUUACUCAACCAUUUCAAACACAAUCUAAUCCACUUUCCACAACUAUUUCAACCAAUUCCACAACUAUUUCAACUCCACACACAAAUCAAUUCUAAAAUCCAACAUGAAAAACACACAAUGUAAUAAAAUUAAAAACACACAAUAUAAUUUCACAACUAUUUUACCCAUACACAAUUCAAUUCAAGAACCCAACAUAAAAAAUAAAAAAUAAAAAACUAAUGUCUUAUAUAAAUAAAAAUACAAUGCAAUUAAAUUAAAAACACACAAUAUAAUUUCACAACCAUUUUAGUCAUACACAAUUUAAUUCAACAACACAACAUAAAAAAAAAAAACUCAUGUCUUGUACAAAGAAAAAUACAAUGCAAUUAAAUUAAAAACACACAAUAUAAUUUCACAACCAUUUUAGUCAUACACAAUUUAAUUCAACAACACAACAUAAAAAAAAAAAACUCAUGUCUUGUACAAAGAAAAAUACAAUGCAAUUAAAUUAAAAACACACAAUAUAAUUUCACAACCAUUUUAGUCAUACACAAUUUAAUUCAACAACACAACAUAAAAAAA